UGGGGAAUAUUGCGCAAUGGGCGCAAGCCUGAUGCAGCGACGCCGCGUGGGGGAUGACGGCCUUCGGGUUGUAAACUCCUUUCGCCAGGGACGAAGCGUUUUGUGACGGUACCUGGAGAAGAAGCGCCGGCUAACUACGUGCCAGCAGCCGCGGUAAUACGUAGGGUGCAAGCGUUGUCCGGAAUUACUGGGCGUAAAGAGCUCGUAGGUGGUUUGUCACGUCGUCUGUGAAAUUCCACAGCUUAACUGUGGGCGUGCAGGCGAUACGGGCUGACUUGAGUACUGUAGGGGUAACUGGAAUUCCUGGUGUAGCGGUGAAAUGCGCAGAUAUCAGGAGGAACACCGAUGGCGAAGGCAGGUUACUGGGCAGUUACUGACGCUGAGGAGCGAAAGCAUGGGUAGCAAACAGGAUUAGAUACCCUGGUAGUCCAUGCCGUAAACGGUGGGCGCUAGGUGUAGGGGCCUUUUGGGGUUUCUGUGCCGUAGCUAACGCAUUAAGCGCCCCGCCUGGGGAGUACGGCCGCAAGGCU
This 530-nucleotide ribosomal RNA is filed under the name uncultured bacterium. RNAcentral's name for it is "bacterial SSU rRNA". It matches the Rfam family "Bacterial small subunit ribosomal RNA", at positions 355 to 895 of the family's 1533-position model. The record is from RNAcentral.